AAAACUUUCAACAACGGAUCUCUUGGUUCUGGCAUCGAUGAAGAACGCAGCGAAAUGCGAUAAGUAAUGUGAAUUGCAGAAUUCAGUGAACCAUCGAAUCUUUGAACGCACAUUGCACCCCUCGGUAUCCCGGGGGGUAUACCUGUUCGAGCGUCAUUG
RNAcentral lists this ribosomal RNA (159 nucleotides) under Biatora printzenii. Its description in RNAcentral is "5.8S ribosomal RNA". It matches the Rfam family "5.8S ribosomal RNA". Rfam says of the family: 5.8S ribosomal RNA (5.8S rRNA) is a component of the large subunit of the eukaryotic ribosome. Lineage: Eukaryota; Fungi; Ascomycota; Lecanoromycetes; Lecanorales; Ramalinaceae. The record is from RNAcentral.